RNAcentral lists this ribosomal RNA (694 nucleotides) under uncultured Bacilli bacterium. RNAcentral describes it as "bacterial SSU rRNA". It matches the Rfam family "Bacterial small subunit ribosomal RNA", at positions 47 to 732 of the family's 1533-position model. Lineage: Bacteria; Bacillati; Bacillota; Bacilli. The record is from RNAcentral.
GAUUGAACGUGCUUGCACGGACUUGACGUUGGUUUACCAGCGAGUGGCGGACGGGUGAGUAACACGUAGGUAACCUGCCCCAAAGCGGGGGAUAACAUUUGGAAACAGAUGCUAAUACCGCAUAAUAAUUUGAAUCGCAUGAUUCAAAUUUAAAAGAUGGCUUCGGCUAUCACUUUGGGAUGGACCUGCGGCGCAUUAGCUUGUUGGUAGGGUAACGGCCUACCAAGGCUGUGAUGCGUAGCCGAGUUGAGAGACUGAUCGGCCACAAUGGAACUGAGACACGGUCCAUACUCCUACGGGAGGCAGCAGUAGGGAAUCUUCCACAAUGGGCGCAAGCCUGAUGGAGCAACACCGCGUGAGUGAAGAAGGGUUUCGGCUCGUAAAGCUCUGUUGUUAGAGAAGAACGUGCGUGAGAGCAACUGUUCACGCAGUGACGGUAUCUAACCAGAAAGUCACGGCUAACUACGUGCCAGCAGCCGCGGUAAUACGUAGGUGGCAAGCGUUAUCCGGAUUUAUUGGGCGUAAAGCGAGCGCAGGCGGUUUGAUAAGUCUGAUGUGAAAGCCUUUGGCUUAACCAAAGAAGUGCAUCGGAAACUGUCAGACUUGAGUGCAGAAGAGGAUAGUGGAACUCCAUGUGUAGCGGUGGAAUGCGUAGAUAUAUGGAAGAACACCAGUGGCGAAGGCGGCUGUCUGG